CAGAAGUCUGCAAGCUUUCUGCUUUCAGAAGCUAUUGAAAGCACGUUCUUCUGAAGCCACAUUGAGUUUCAAGUGAUGAAUCAGAAUUCUGCAUGGAAAGAUUUGGGUGGCAGUGGAACAUGGAGGUUCUGCAUCAAGUGUGAGCUCUGCACAAUUACUUGUCUUCUGUUCUGCUUUGAUGUCCAGUAACUUAUCAAUGGAUGUAAUUUUAGAGAAACAUUGGUGUUGAGGUUUUACGUCUCUAUUUUUGUGCAUGUUUAGGUUUUGUUGUUAAGAUUGCGUUGUUUCUUUUUUGUAGGACGGCACAGUCCUAAAUCUUUGAUUAAGGAAAAAAUAAAAGAGUUUCUAUGAAA
Molecule: long non-coding RNA, 353 nt
Organism: Passer montanus (Eurasian tree sparrow)
Lineage: Eukaryota; Metazoa; Chordata; Aves; Passeriformes; Passeridae
Exons: 2
Source: RefSeq, a predicted model, not a curated record